RNAcentral lists this ribosomal RNA (491 nucleotides) under uncultured bacterium. Its description in RNAcentral is "partial 16S ribosomal RNA". It matches the Rfam family "Bacterial small subunit ribosomal RNA", at positions 29 to 506 of the family's 1533-position model. The record is from RNAcentral.
AGUGAACGCUGGCGGUAGGCCUAACACAUACAAGUCGAACGGCAGCACAGUAAGAGCUUGCUCUUACGGGUGGCGAGUGGCGGACGGGUGAGGAAUACAUCGGAAUCUACUUUUUCGUGGGGGAUAACGUAGGGAAACUUACGCUAAUACCGCAUACGACCUACGGGUGAAAGCAGGGGAUCUUCGGACCUUGCGCGAUUGAAUGAGCCGAUGUCGGAUUAGCUAGUUGGCGGGGUAAAGGCCCACCAAGGCGACGAUCCGUAGCUGGUCUGAGAGGAUGAUCAGCCACACUGGAACUGAGACACGGUCCAGACUCCUACGGGAGGCAGCAGUGGGGAAUAUUGGACAAUGGGCGCAAGCCUGAUCCAGCCAUACCGCGUGGGUGAAGAAGGCCUUCGGGUUGUAAAGCCCUUUUGUAGGGAAAGAAAAGCAGCAGGUUAAUACCCCGCUGUUCUGACGGUACCCAAAGAAUAAGCACCGGCUAACUUCGU